Molecule: long non-coding RNA, 181 nt
Organism: Populus euphratica (Euphrates poplar)
Lineage: Eukaryota; Viridiplantae; Streptophyta; Magnoliopsida; Malpighiales; Salicaceae
Exons: 2
Source: RefSeq, a predicted model, not a curated record
AAAGCCACAGGACGGCUUAGACAUAAAACUUAAAGACAUGAUUAAAAGAGUGGAAAGAGAUUUGAUUGAUUUGCCUCGUCCCCUAUGCUGUCCAUCGAACACCUUAUUUUGGAAGCAUGUUCUAACACACCUAUUUCUUCAACAUUAUCUUAUAUUGUAAUUUAAUUUUAAUGAAAAUGGA